CACCAUAUCAGUUAUCACCGAAAAAGAGUAAAAAGUAGCAAGCAAGAACCAGAAACUAAUCAGAAUGGGGAGAUGGAAGAUAUUAGUAUCAUUAGUGGUGGUGUCAUUACUAUUAUGUAGUUCAGAGUGUUUGCAACAUAGAGUUGGGGAUUCAAUAUGGUCUAUUCCUCCAACCAAUAAUUUCUACAAAAACUGGUCUUCUUCCUACACCUUUCACACUGGAGACACUCUUUAUUUCGACUUCGAUUCAGGGCUUUACAACGUGCUUCAAGUGUCGAGAGGCGAGUUCGAUAUGUGCACCGGAUACGAGCCAUACAAGACCUUCAUCGACGGACCGGCCACCAUCCCUUUGCCUAUGAAAGGCGUCUUUUAUUAUGUAUGCAAUGUCUCCAACUAUUGUGCCUUAGGCCUCAAGCUUUGGGUCAUCGUAGAACAGACUUAAUUCAUAUAUGCUUUAUUUUUCUUAUAUUCUUAACUUCUAAGUUAUUUUUAUUUGAAACAUUGGUGAAUCAUUAUGUCACUGAAAAAAAAUAUUGGUGCAUAUGU
Salvia hispanica is the source of this 546-nucleotide non-coding RNA. Lineage: Eukaryota; Viridiplantae; Streptophyta; Magnoliopsida; Lamiales; Lamiaceae. The record is from RefSeq and is a predicted model, not a curated record.